This is a long non-coding RNA of Melozone crissalis (California towhee), 678 nucleotides long. RefSeq lists it as uncharacterized. The transcript has 5 exons. The record is from RefSeq and is a predicted model, not a curated record. Lineage: Eukaryota; Metazoa; Chordata; Aves; Passeriformes; Passerellidae.
GUGCUGUGCUGCAAAGUCAGCUGUUCUCACUGCCUGAUUGUCAGAUGAGCACUGCUGUGACAAAGCCACUUGGAAAAAACAGCUUGGAUCCUUCUUUGAGCUCACUGAUGUCCCCCUGUGUCUGCAAUGCCAACACCCUCGUGUCUCCAGAGACUGAGGCCCCCUUUGCCAGAGAUCUGCUGUCCAAACCAGCAUGCUGUGUUAUGCCAACCCAGUGCCUUGUCAGUGUGGCAGACAGCUGUAGUUAGAAUACAAGGCUUUUGUGUUCCACCCACCCCCUCAUCUCUCAGGUUUUAUUCCACUUCUUUGAGCAGUGGACACAUUCUUGCCAGUCUCAGUGUUUUAAUUUAAUUUGGGCACAGACUAUAUAAAAUUGAACAGAUGUCUGAAAGCAGUGGAGAGAAGACCAUAAAAUGAAACACGUGCUCAGCUCCAUUUGAAACAAGCAAUGCUGUAUUUUUUUUGUCCCCAUUGCCACAAAAGUCACACAUGACUUGGAGGUGUGUGACAAGAGGGUCCAACAUGGGAAGAGGAGGAAACUAGAAGGUGGCAGCCUUGGGGUGAUAACUGAAGUGAAACACAAGACUAUCAAGAAAUAAGCCAUUAAAAAACUUCAGGAAAAGAAUGCAAUAUGUGCUGCCAUUUUCUUUUACUUCUCUUUCUGCACCAGCUGUGGUA